This 233-nucleotide ribosomal RNA is filed under the name uncultured bacterium. RNAcentral describes it as "partial 16S ribosomal RNA". It matches the Rfam family "Bacterial small subunit ribosomal RNA", at positions 794 to 1023 of the family's 1533-position model. The record is from RNAcentral.
UCCACGCCCUAAACGAUGAACACUAGUCGUCGGAAUGCUAGCCAUUUCGGUGAUGCACUUAACAGAUUAAGUGUUCCGCCUGGGGAGUACGGUCGCAAGAUUAAAACUCAAAGGAAUAGACGGGGACCCGCACAAGUGGUGGAGCAUGUGGUUUAAUUCGAAAAUACGCGAAGAACCUUACCUAGCCUUGACAUUGAAGAAACACACUCUAUCUCUAGGUGUGUUGCCCUUCG